Molecule: long non-coding RNA, 376 nt
Filed under: Brassica napus (rape)
Lineage: Eukaryota; Viridiplantae; Streptophyta; Magnoliopsida; Brassicales; Brassicaceae
Description: long non-coding RNA (BNAP_LNC005127)
Source: RNAcentral
AUUGCCUUAGAAGUCUGACUCUUCUGUAGUUCGCAUCACUACGUUUGCCUGAGGGAGCUGAGGCUGAAAGUUCUCAUCAUACCUCUGAUAACACCUGAAUGCAGAAUGACCAAACUUUCCACAUAUCUGACAUGUAGGACGAGAUGAACUCUGAUGUUGUCCACGACCACUAGUCUGACCAAACUGCUGAUGAAAGCCUCUGCCUUGUGUUGAGUAACCUCGUCCUCUGUAGCCUCCACGGUAUUGACCACGACCAGAGUAGCCACCUCUAUUUGUAUAGUACGCCUGAUGAGGAGUGACAUUAGAGGACACUGUGUAUGUCUGAAGCUUGUCUUCAAAGGAGAUCAGCUUAGGCAUGACAUCGUCAAGAGUAGGU